RNAcentral lists this ribosomal RNA (461 nucleotides) under Staphylococcus aureus. Its description in RNAcentral is "partial 23S ribosomal RNA". It matches the Rfam family "Bacterial large subunit ribosomal RNA", at positions 984 to 1452 of the family's 2925-position model. Lineage: Bacteria; Bacillati; Bacillota; Bacilli; Caryophanales; Staphylococcaceae. The record is from RNAcentral.
AGAACAUGGGUGAUAAGGUCCGUGUUCGAAAGGGAAACAGCCCAGACCACCAGCUAAGGUCCCAAAAUAUAUGUUAAGUGGAAAAGGAUGUGGCGUUGCCCAGACAACUAGGAUGUUGGCUUAGAAGCAGCCAUCAUUUAAAGAGUGCGUAAUAGCUCACUAGUCGAGUGACACUGCGCCGAAAAUGUACCGGGGCUAAACAUAUUACCGAAGCUGUGGAUUGUCCUUUGGACAAUGGUAGGAGAGCGUUCUAAGGGCGUUGAAGCAUGAUCGUAAGGACAUGUGGAGCGCUUAGAAGUGAGAAUGCCGGUGUGAGUAGCGAAAGACGGGUGAGAAUCCCGUCCACCGAUUGACUAAGGUUUCCAGAGGAAGGCUCGUCCGCUCUGGGUUAGUCGGGUCCUAAGCUGAGGCCGACAGGCGUAGGCGAUGGAUAACAGGUUGAUAUUCCUGUACCACCUAUA